Molecule: ribosomal RNA, 655 nt
Filed under: Swertia cincta
Lineage: Eukaryota; Viridiplantae; Streptophyta; Magnoliopsida; Gentianales; Gentianaceae
Description: eukaryotic LSU rRNA
Rfam family: 5.8S ribosomal RNA (bases 281-436)
Source: RNAcentral
AGUCGUAACAAGGUUUCCGUAGGUGAACCUGCGGAAGGAUCAUUGUCGAAUCCUGCGAAGCAGACGACCCGAGAACAUGUUUAACGYACGGGUGUCAGGGACGAGGGAAACCACGAACCUGCGCCCCGAGCGCGGCGUCGGCCAUAGGUCGCUCGUCGUGCACCCAAACAACCCCGGGCGCAUAAAAGCGCCAAGGAAAACAAGAAAGGGAUGGCUUGCCUCUCGCCCAUCCGUUCGCGGAGUGCACGGGAGGGCAACAGGCACCUGAAGAAACAAAAACGACUCUCGGCAACGGAUAUCUCGGCUCUCGCAUCGAUGAAGAACGUAGCGAACUGCGAUACUUGGUGUGAAUUGCAGAAUCCCGUGAACCAUCGAGUCUUUGAACGCAAGUUGCGCCCGAAGCCAUUAGGCCGAGGGCACGUCUGCCUGGGCGUCACGCAUCGCGUCGCCUCCUCAACUCCUGUAUGAGGGGGCGGAAAYUGGCUUCCCGUGCUUGGCCACGGCUGGCCUAAAUACGAGUCCCUUGCGACGGACGCGACGACAAGUGGUGGUUGAUAGUCUCAACUAAGGUGCUGUCGCGCGUCGCCCGUCGAAUAGGGAGACUCUCCGACCCUGAUGCAAGCGUCGUCAUGACGAUUGCUACGACCGCGACCCC